UGGCGACGGGUGAGUACACGUGGGCAAUCUGCCCUUCACUCUGGGACAAGCCCUGGAAACGGGGUCUAAUACCGGAUACGACUACCGACCGCAUGGUCUGGUGGUGGAAAGCUCCGGCGGUGAAGGAUGAGCCCGCGGCCUAUCAGCUUGUUGGUGGGGUGAUGGCCUACCAAGGCGACGACGGGUAGCCGGCCUGAGAGGGCGACCGGCCACACUGGGACUGAGACACGGCCCAGACUCCUACGGGAGGCAGCAGUGGGGAAUAUUGCACAAUGGGCGAAAGCCUGAUGCAGCGACGCCGCGUGAGGGAUGACGGCCUUCGGGUUGUAAACCUCUUUCAGCAGGGAAGAAGCGAGAGUGACGGUACCUGCAGAAGAAGCGCCGGCUAACUACGUGCCAGCAGCCGGGGGUAAUACG
RNAcentral lists this ribosomal RNA (417 nucleotides) under Streptomyces sp. MBT20. RNAcentral describes it as "bacterial SSU rRNA". It matches the Rfam family "Bacterial small subunit ribosomal RNA", at positions 96 to 527 of the family's 1533-position model. The record is from RNAcentral. Lineage: Bacteria; Bacillati; Actinomycetota; Actinomycetes; Kitasatosporales; Streptomycetaceae.